AGUCCCCGCAACGAGCGCAACCCUUAUCUUUAGUUGUCAUCAAGUAAUGUUGGACCCUCUAGAGAGACUGCCGGUGAUAAACCGGAGGAAGUGGGGAUGACGUCAAAUCAUCAUGCCCCUUAUGAUUUGGGCUACACACGUGCUACAAUGGUCGGUACAACAGGCAGUGAAAGGGUAACCUGGAACGAAUCCUCUAAAGCCGAUCUCAGUUCGGAUUGUGGGCUGCAACUCGCCCACAUGAAGUUGGAGUUGCUAGUAAUCGUGAAUCAGAAUGUCGCGGUGAAUGCGUUCCCGGGUCUU
This 300-nucleotide ribosomal RNA is filed under the name uncultured bacterium. RNAcentral describes it as "bacterial SSU rRNA". It matches the Rfam family "Bacterial small subunit ribosomal RNA", at positions 1083 to 1382 of the family's 1533-position model. The record is from RNAcentral.